This 240-nucleotide ribosomal RNA is filed under the name uncultured bacterium. Its description in RNAcentral is "partial 16S ribosomal RNA". It matches the Rfam family "Bacterial small subunit ribosomal RNA", at positions 95 to 334 of the family's 1533-position model. The record is from RNAcentral.
CCGGCGCACGGGUGAGUAACACGUAUCCAACCUGCCGUCUACUCUUGGCAGCCUUCUGAAAGGAAGAUUAAUCCAGGAUGGGAUCAUGAGUUCACAUGUCCGCAUGAUUAAAGGUAUUUUCCGGUAGACGAUGGGGAUGCGUUCCAUUAGAUAGUAGGCGGGGUAACGGCCCACCUAGUCUUCGAUGGAUAGGGGUUCUGAGAGGAAGGUCCCCCACAUUGGAACUGAGACACGGUCCAA